RNAcentral lists this ribosomal RNA (449 nucleotides) under uncultured bacterium. RNAcentral's name for it is "bacterial SSU rRNA". It matches the Rfam family "Bacterial small subunit ribosomal RNA", at positions 32 to 461 of the family's 1533-position model. The record is from RNAcentral.
AAUCAACGCUGGCGGCGUGCCUCAGACAUGCAAGUCGAGCGCGAAAGUCCCCUUCGGGGGACAAGUAGAGUGGCGCACGGGUGAGUAACACGUAGGUAAUCUACCUUCGGAUGGGGAAUAACAACCGGAAACGGUUGCUAAUACCGCAUAAUGCAGCGGCACCUAAUGGUGACAGUUGUUAAAGCGGGGGAUUGAAAGACCUCGCGUCUGAAGAGGAGCCUGCGGCGGAUUAGCNGUUGGUAGGGUAACGGCCUACCAAGGCGACGAUCCGUAGCCGGCCUGAGAGGGCGGUCGGCCACACUGACACUGACAUACGGGUCAGACUCCUACGGGAGGCAGCAGUCGGGAAUUUUGGGCAAUGGGCGAAAGCCUGACCCAGCAACGCCGCGUGAAGGAUGAAAUCCCUCGGGAUGUAAACUUCGCAAGAACGGGAAGAAUAAGUAGGGGAC